AGUUGAACGAAGCGCUUAAAUGGAUUUCUUCGGAUUGAAGUUUUUGUGACUGAGUGGCGGACGGGUGAGUAACGCGUGGGUAACCUGCCUCAUGCAGGGGGAUAACAGUUAGAAAUGACUGCUAAUACCGCAUAAGCGCACAGUGCUGCAUGGCACAGUGUGAAAAACUCCGGUGGUAUGAGAUGGACCCGCGUCUGAUUAGCUAGUUGGUGGGGUAACGGCCUACCAAGGCGACGAUCAGUAGCCGGCCUGAGAGGGUGAACGGCCACAUUGGGACUGAGACACGGCCCAAACUCCUACGGGAGGCAGCAGUGGGGAAUAUUGCACAAUGGGGGAAACCCUGAUGCAGCGACGCCGCGUGAGCGAAGAAGUAUUUCGGUAUGUAAAGCCCUAUCAGCAGGGAAGAAAAUGACGGUACCUGACUAAGAAGCACCGGCUAAAUACGUGCCAGCAGCCGCGGUAAUACGUAUGGUGCAAGCGUUAUCCGGAUUUACUGGGUGUAAAGGGAGCGUAGACGGUUGUGUAAGUCUGAUGUGAAAGCCCGGGGCUCAACCCCGGGACUGCAUUGGAAACUAUGUAACUAGAGUGUCGGAGAGGUAAGCGGAAUUCCUAGUGUAGCGGUGAAAUGCGUAGAUAUUAGGAGGAACACCAGUGGCGAAGGCGGCUUACUGGACGAUCACUGACGUUGAGGCUCGAAAGCGUGGGGAGCAAACAGGAUUAGAUACCCUGGUAGUCCACGCCGUAAAC
This 747-nucleotide ribosomal RNA is filed under the name uncultured bacterium. RNAcentral describes it as "bacterial SSU rRNA". It matches the Rfam family "Bacterial small subunit ribosomal RNA", at positions 60 to 807 of the family's 1533-position model. The record is from RNAcentral.